RNAcentral lists this ribosomal RNA (458 nucleotides) under uncultured bacterium. RNAcentral describes it as "partial 16S ribosomal RNA". It matches the Rfam family "Bacterial small subunit ribosomal RNA", at positions 338 to 795 of the family's 1533-position model. The record is from RNAcentral.
CCUACGGGAGGCAGCAGUGGGGAAUAUUGGGCAAUGGACGCAAGUCUGACCCAGCAACGCCGCGUGAAGGAAGAAGGCUUUCGGGUUGUAAACCUCUUUUGUCGGGGAGCAAAAGACGCCACGCGUGGCGUUCCGAGAGUACCCGAAGAAAAAGCAUCGGCUAACUCUGUGCCAGCAGCCGCGGAAAUACGGGGGAUGCGAGCGUUAUCAGGAUUUAUUGGGUUUAAGGGGUGCGCAGGCGGAAGAUCAAGUCAGCGGUAAAAUUGAGAGGCUCAACCUCUUCGAGCCGUUGAAACUGGUUUUCUUGAGUGAGUGAGAGGGAUGCGGAAUGCGUGGUGUAGCGGUGAAAUGCAUAGAUAUCACGCAGAACUCCGGUUGCGAAGGCAGCAUGCCGGCGCUCAACUGACGCUCAGGCGCGAAAGUGUGGGUAGCGAACAGGAUUAGAUACCCCGGUAGUC